GUGCUUACUUUUCACUUCGGCAGCACAUAUACUAAAAUCGGAACAAUACAGAGGCGAUUAGCAUGGCCCCUGUGUCUGGGAACUCUUCUGCUUUGCUAAAGUAGGAGAAAUUAAUU
Molecule: small nuclear RNA, 116 nt
Organism: Panthera pardus (leopard)
Lineage: Eukaryota; Metazoa; Chordata; Mammalia; Carnivora; Felidae
Source: Ensembl